This 425-nucleotide ribosomal RNA is filed under the name uncultured bacterium. RNAcentral's name for it is "bacterial SSU rRNA". It matches the Rfam family "Bacterial small subunit ribosomal RNA", at positions 355 to 772 of the family's 1533-position model. The record is from RNAcentral.
UGGGGAAUAUUGGACAAUGGGGGCAACCCUGAUCCAGCGACGCCGCGUGUGUGAAGAAGGCCUGCGGGUUGUAAAGCACUUUUAGUGGGGAUGAAAAGCACAUUGCUAAUACCAGUGUGUCUUGACCUAACCCAAAGAAAAAGCACCGGCUAACUCUGUGCCAGCAGCCGCGGUAAUACAGAGGGUGCGAGCGUUAAUCGGAAUUACUGGGCGUAAAGCGUGCGUAGGUGGUUUGUUAAGUCUAAUGUGAAAGCCCUGGGCUCAACCUGGGAAUUGCAUUGGAUACUGGCAGGCUAGAGUGCGGUAGAGGAUGGCGGAAUUCCCGGUGUAGCAGUGAAAUGCGUAGAGAUCGGGAGGAACAUCUGUGGCGAAGGCGGCCAUCUGGACCAGCACUGACACUGAGGCACGAAAGCGUGGGGAGCAAA